GUAGUUAGCCGGGGCUUCCUUCUUGGCUACCAUCAUUAUUUUCACCAAGGAUAGAAGUUUACGAUCCGAAAACCUUCUUCCCUCACGCGGCGUUGCUGGGUCAGGCUUGCGCCCAUUGCCCAAUAUUCCCCACUGCUGCCUCCCGUAGGAGUCUGGACCGUGUCUCAGUUCCAGUGUGGCCGAUCAGCCUCUCAGCUCGGCUACCCAUCGUCGGCUUGGUGGGCUGUUAUCUCACCAACUACCUAAUGGGACGCGAACCCCUCUUAUAGCGAUAAAUCUUUGACCCCUUCCUGAUGUCAGGUUGUGGUCUCAUGCGGUAUUAGCACUUGUUUCCAACUGUUAUCCCCCACUAUAAGGCAGGUUGUUCACGCGUUACUCACCCGUUCGCCACUCAAAUUAUAAAUUCCAUCCGAAAACUUCCUUUAUAAUCUCCGUUCGACUUGCAUGUGUUAGGCACGCCGCCAGCGUUCGUCCUGAGCCANAAUCAAACUCUGA
Molecule: ribosomal RNA, 495 nt
Filed under: uncultured bacterium
Lineage: Bacteria
Description: partial 16S ribosomal RNA
Source: RNAcentral